UUAAGUCGCGUCGGGAGAGAUCGGCCGUUUCUGAAUGGAAACAGGCCGGCGCCGAAGGAGCAACCGCCCCGGAAACUCUCAGGCAAACGGACCGCGCGACUUGU
This 104-nucleotide non-coding RNA is filed under the name Nitrobacter hamburgensis. Its description in RNAcentral is "Glycine sequence". It matches the Rfam family "Glycine riboswitch aptamer". Rfam says of the family: This family represents the bacterial glycine riboswitch. Glycine riboswitches usually consist of two metabolite-binding aptamers domains with similar structures in tandem. The aptamers cooperatively bind glycine to regulate the expression of downstream genes. Lineage: Bacteria; Pseudomonadati; Pseudomonadota; Alphaproteobacteria; Hyphomicrobiales; Nitrobacteraceae. RNAcentral also lists the same sequence under 1 other name. The record is from RNAcentral.